UGUCCUUUCCGACGUAAACAAGGGAACUAAAUCAACUCAUGUACAAGUAUUGGGAGUAGCUUAAUACAAUAAAUCUACGAAAAGGUCUUCCUGUUUCUACGGUGACAAAGCGAGAAAUUCGAUAACGUUUCACUCCGUAACGAGAGAGAAGGGACACAGUACUAUGAUGCAUCGAUUCUCGAAAUCUACGAAGAGACGGCUCGGAUUACACAACACGACUGAAACUGAAUUGUACAGAUUGAAAACUCAUUCCGUUGAAAGGAAUCGUCUAAAGCUGGAAUUUGAGGUUAGAGUGCACGUACGCAGAAAAUAAAAUAAGGUUAUGAUAAUUAUUGUAAU
This is a long non-coding RNA of Eufriesea mexicana, 339 nucleotides long. RefSeq lists it as uncharacterized. The record is from RefSeq and is a predicted model, not a curated record. The transcript is spliced from 3 exons. Lineage: Eukaryota; Metazoa; Arthropoda; Insecta; Hymenoptera; Apidae.